RNAcentral lists this ribosomal RNA (616 nucleotides) under uncultured archaeon. RNAcentral's name for it is "bacterial SSU rRNA". It matches the Rfam family "Archaeal small subunit ribosomal RNA", at positions 76 to 690 of the family's 1478-position model. The record is from RNAcentral.
CACCGGCGGACGGCUCAGUAACACGUCGGUAACCUACCCUCGGGAGGGGGAUAACCCCGGGAAACUGGGGCUAAUCCCCCAUAGGCCUGAGGUACUGGAAGGUCCUCAGACCGAAAGGGGCUUUGCCCGCCCGAGGAUGGGCCGGCGGCCGAUUAGGUAGUUGGUGGGGUAACGGCCCACCAAGCCGAAGAUCGGUACGGGCCAUGAGAGUGGGAGCCCGGAGAUGGACACUGAGACACGGGUCCAGGCCCUACGGGGCGCAGCAGGCGCGAAACCUCCGCAAUGCUCGAAAGAGCGACGGGGGGACCCCCAGUGCCGUGGCAUCGCCACGGCUUUUCCGGAGUGUAAAGAGCUCCGGGAAUAAGGGCUGGGCAAGGCCGGUGGCAGCCGCCGCGGUAAUACCGGCGGCCCGAGUGGUGGCCGCUAUUAUUGGGCCUAAAGCGUCCGUAGCCGGGCCAGUAAGUCCCUGGCGAAAUCCCACGGCUCAACCGUGGGGCUUGCUGGGGAUACUGCUGGCCUUGGGACCGGGAGAGGCGGAGGGUACUCCUGGGGUAGGGGUGAAAUCCUAUAAUCCCAGGAGGACCGCCAGUGGCGAAGGCGCUCCGCUGGAACGGGU